AGUUCUAUAGUUUAAUAGAAAACAUUAAAUUGCAAAUUUAAAGAUAAAAUGUAAUCUUUUGGGACUU
This 67-nucleotide transfer RNA is filed under the name Dyscolus orthomus. RNAcentral's name for it is "tRNA-Cys". It matches the Rfam family "tRNA". From Rfam's summary of the family: Transfer RNA (tRNA) molecules are approximately 80 nucleotides in length. Lineage: Eukaryota; Metazoa; Arthropoda; Insecta; Coleoptera; Carabidae. The record is from RNAcentral.